UGGCGACCGGCGCACGGGUGCGCAACGCGUAUGGAACCUGCCCUCUGCAGGGGAAUAGCCCAUGGAAACGUGGAUUAAUGCCCCAUAGUACCGUUGACCGGCAUUGGUCUUCGGUUAAAGCCUUCGGGCGGCAGGGGAUGGCCACGCGUACCAUUAGCUAGUUGGUAAGGUAACGGCUUACCAAGGCCACGAUGGUUAGGGGCCCUGAGAGGGGGAUCCCCCACACUGGUACUGAGACACGGACCAG
Molecule: ribosomal RNA, 247 nt
Filed under: uncultured bacterium
Lineage: Bacteria
Description: partial 16S ribosomal RNA
Rfam family: Bacterial small subunit ribosomal RNA
Source: RNAcentral